GUCUCGUUAGCGCAGAAGGCAGCGCGUCAGUCUUUUAAUCUGAAGGUCGUGAGUUCGAUCCUCACACGGGGCA
RNAcentral lists this transfer RNA (73 nucleotides) under Acropora cervicornis. RNAcentral's name for it is "tRNA-Lys". It matches the Rfam family "tRNA". Rfam says of the family: Transfer RNA (tRNA) molecules are approximately 80 nucleotides in length. Their secondary structure includes four short double-helical elements and three loops (D, anti-codon, and T loops). Further hydrogen bonds mediate the characteristic L-shaped molecular structure. tRNAs have two regions of fundamental functional importance: the anti-codon, which is responsible for specific mRNA codon recognition, and the 3' end, to which the tRNAs corresponding amino acid is attached (by aminoacyl-tRNA synthetases). tRNAs cope with the degeneracy of the genetic code in two manners: having more than one tRNA (with a specific anti-codon) for a particular amino acid; and 'wobble' base-pairing, i.e. permitting non-standard base-pairing at the 3rd anti-codon position. The record is from RNAcentral. Lineage: Eukaryota; Metazoa; Cnidaria; Anthozoa; Scleractinia; Acroporidae.